Molecule: transfer RNA, 87 nt
Filed under: Anaeromyxobacter paludicola
Lineage: Bacteria; Pseudomonadati; Myxococcota; Myxococcia; Myxococcales; Anaeromyxobacteraceae
Description: tRNA-Ser
Rfam family: tRNA
About the family: Transfer RNA (tRNA) molecules are approximately 80 nucleotides in length. Their secondary structure includes four short double-helical elements and three loops (D, anti-codon, and T loops).
Source: RNAcentral
GGAGAGCUGGCCGAGUGGCCGAAGGCGCCUGACUCGAAAUCAGGUGUACGGGUAACCGUACCGUGGGUUCGACUCCCACGCUCUCCG